RNAcentral lists this ribosomal RNA (164 nucleotides) under Nothoscordum gracile. RNAcentral describes it as "5.8S ribosomal RNA". It matches the Rfam family "5.8S ribosomal RNA". From Rfam's summary of the family: 5.8S ribosomal RNA (5.8S rRNA) is a component of the large subunit of the eukaryotic ribosome. It is transcribed by RNA polymerase I as part of the 45S precursor that also contains 18S and 28S rRNA. The record is from RNAcentral. Lineage: Eukaryota; Viridiplantae; Streptophyta; Magnoliopsida; Asparagales; Amaryllidaceae.
UGCAUAACUCUCGGCAACGGAUAUCUUGGCUCUCGCAUCGAUGAAGAACGUAGCAAAAUGGGAUAAAUUGGUGUGAAUUGCAGAAUCCCGUGAAUCAUCGAGUUUUUGAACGCAAGUAGCGCCCGAGGCCACCUGGUUGAGGGCAGACUGCCUGGGCGUCACGC